GCCGGGUUGGCUCAGUGGGUAGAGCAGGCACACAUGCACUGAGAGGUUCAUGCCUUGAUGCAGAGGUCCAGGUUCGAAUCUGACCUGUGA
This 90-nucleotide transfer RNA is filed under the name Perca fluviatilis (European perch). RNAcentral's name for it is "tRNA-Leu". The record is from RNAcentral. Lineage: Eukaryota; Metazoa; Chordata; Actinopteri; Perciformes; Percidae.